AAAUCAUGGCCAAAAGAAACAUCUUAAUGAAAAUAAUAUAUUUGCCGAGUGCAUUCUUUAUUCUAGUGUUGACUGGUGUUGACUUUCUGGACUUUUGAGUGAAAUUUUUAAAAAUUCUGAUGUUAAGAAGUUAAAACAAAUUUUUGAAAGAAGUGGUUAGGGGCAUGAGAGCACAGAGGUUAUAAUGUUUGAUAACAUUCAUGGCAACAUCUGCAAGCAAAUUUAAAGUAAAUCUAAGAAAAAAUAACAAAAUAGAAGCAUUUCCUACUACUCUUACAUAGACCUAUAAUUUUAAACUACCUUCACAAAAAAUAUAUUAUUUAACUUGGGCUUGAUAGGGACUGAUAAUUCUAAGAAUGUGUUUUAUAGCUCUAGUGUUGUGAGUUGUGAGUACCCCCAAAAAAAGUUUUGAAUAUUUUCUUGAGUUAGAGAAUAAUCAUUACCCAUUUUGCAUUCUUAUUACUUAAAAAUGUCAAUUAUAGCCUAAGCUGUUCUGUUUUAUGGUACCAUGAGGACAUGAAUAAUUUGCUUAGGAAAGAAUAAGAUGUUAUUUUACUUAUGAUUCCCUACUUCAAAAUAUCAUGGAUACUCCUAUAUAGUAUGUAAGCUUUGAGAUUGGAAACUUCAAAGAGGUUUUUGAGUUUAUUGUCUUCAUGUCUUUGAUUGUUGAAUUGAAUGAGCUGUCUGUAGGAGGUACUGAGUGGGCAGUUGUACCCAGGGGGCAGCUUACCCUCCAUCUGGCAGUUCCUCUUGGAACUUUAAUAUAUUGUUUGUCUUUAAUAGAGAUCUGUUCUCUUUUUGUGGAAACAACCACUUUAUGGUUCUAAUUCCCAAGUAACUACUAUGUAAUACGUGAUGAUACAUCAUGGAUGGUAUAGCAUGGCAAAAUAUUGUUAUAAGUCGUAGUAUGCUGAGAGGAGCUCCAGAGUAUACCUGCAACAUUUCCUCUGGAAACACAGAAAUCUUAAUUUUUGUGAGCUAAUAGUUUUCCUUUUCUUUUUUUACCUGAAAGAAAUCAACAUGCAGGAAUGGAUUUUUCUUAUAUGGGGAAUCAAAAGUAUGCAAAAAUACCAAAAAUGUAAUAUUAUAUAUUACUAUCUUAGAAGAAAUUUCUAAUUGUUGGUGUUAAUGCCUAGUAAAUAAUGGAGUGGAUAGUUUAAAUGACAUAUUAGAAGGUGUAAGACAUCCAAAAAGAAAAAAAAA
This 1203-nucleotide long non-coding RNA is filed under the name Canis lupus familiaris (dog). RNAcentral's name for it is "lncRNA (ENSCAFG00000058132.1, ENSCAFG00805029062.1, ENSCAFG00845017834.1)". The record is from RNAcentral. Lineage: Eukaryota; Metazoa; Chordata; Mammalia; Carnivora; Canidae.